This 919-nucleotide ribosomal RNA is filed under the name Bacillus spizizenii. RNAcentral describes it as "bacterial SSU rRNA". It matches the Rfam family "Bacterial small subunit ribosomal RNA". The record is from RNAcentral. Lineage: Bacteria; Bacillati; Bacillota; Bacilli; Caryophanales; Bacillaceae.
GACCGGGGUUUUUUAGAGUUUGGAUUUCAGGCUCAGGACGAACGCUGGCGGCGUGCCUAAUACAUGCAAGUCGAGCGGACAGAUGGGAGCUUGCUCCCUGAUGUUAGCGGCGGACGGGUGAGUAACACGUGGGUAACCUGCCUGUAAGACUGGGAUAACUCCGGGAAACCGGGGCUAAUACCGGAUGCUUGUUUGAACCGCAUGGUUCAAACAUAAAAGGUGGCUUCGGCUACCACUUACAGAUGGACCCGCGGCGCAUUAGCUAGUUGGUGAGGUAAUGGCUCACCAAGGCAACGAUGCGUAGCCGACCUGAGAGGGUGAUCGGCCACACUGGGACUGAGACACGGCCCAGACUCCUACGGGAGGCAGCAGUAGGGAAUCUUCCGCAAUGGACGAAAGUCUGACGGAGCAACGCCGCGUGAGUGAUGAAGGUUUUCGGAUCGUAAAGCUCUGUUGUUAGGGAAGAACAAGUACCGUUCGAAUAGGGCGGUACCUUGACGGUACCUAACCAGAAAGCCACGGCUAACUACGUGCCAGCAGCCGCGGUAAUACGUAGGUGGCAAGCGUUGUCCGGAAUUAUUGGGCGUAAAGGGCUCGCAGGCGGUUUCUUAAGUCUGAUGUGAAAGCCCCCGGCUCAACCGGGGAGGGUCAUUGGAAACUGGGGAACUUGAGUGCAGAAGAGGAGAGUGGAAUUCCACGUGUAGCGGUGAAAUGCGUAGAGAUGUGGAGGAACACCAGUGGCGAAGGCGACUCUCUGGUCUGUAACUGACGCUGAGGAGCGAAAGCGUGGGGAGCGAACAGGAUUAGAUACCCUGGUAGUCCACGCCGUAAACGAUGAGUGCUAAGUGUUAGGGGGUUUCCGCCCCUUAGUGCUGCAGCUAACGCAUUAAGCACUCCGCCUUGGAGAACGUCACGUUUU